UGAAUACGAGACGCUAAGGCGUCGAAGUAGUGUAUGUCAUACUUCCAAGAAAAGCUUGCACUGUCAUAGAUAAAAAACGCCUGUACCAUAACCGACACAGGUGGGUAGGUAGAGUAUACUAAGGGGCGCGAGAUAACUCUCUCUAAGGAACUCGGCAAAAUAACUCCGUAACUUCGGGAGAAGGAGUGCCUUAUUAUUAAGGCUGCAAUAACAAGAUCCAAGCAACUGUUUAUCAAAAACACAGGUCUCCGCUAAGUCGUAAGACGAUGUAUGGGGGCUGACGCCUGCCCAGUGCCAGAAGGUUAAAGAAGUUGGUUAGCAUUUGCGAAGCUGAUAACUGAAGCCCUGGUGAACGGCGGCCGUAACAAUAACGGUCCUAAGGUAGCGAAAUUCCUUGUCGGGUAAGUUCCGACCCGCACGAAAGGCGUAAUGAUUUGGAUACUGUCUCGGAGAGGGGCUCGGUGAAAUAGACUUGUCUGUGAAGAUGCGGACUACCUGCACCAGGACAGAAAGACCCUAUGAAGCUUUACUGUAACUUGAAAUUGAAAUUGGACUUUAUUCGCGCAGCAUAGGUGGGAGGCGUUGAUUAUAAUCUUGUGGGAUUAUUGGAGCCAUCAGUGAGAUACCACUCUUGUAAUGUUAGAUUUCUGACUUUGAAUCAUUAUCUGGUCAAAGAACAGUUUCAGGCGGGCAGUUUGACUGGGGCGGUCGCCUCCUAAACGGUAACGGAGGCGUACAAAGGUUUCCUCUGAACGGUUAGAAAUCGUAUCUAGAGUGUAAAGGCAUAAGGAAGCUUGACUGUGAGACCUACAAGUCGAGCAGGGACGAAAGUCGGUCUUAGUGAUCUGACGGUACUGAGUGGAAAGGCCGUCACUCAACGGAUAAAAGUUACUCUAGGAUAACAGGCUGAUCUCCCCCAAGAGUUCACAUCGACGGGGAGGUUUGGCACCUCGAUGUCGGCUCAUCGCAUCCUGGGGCGGUAGUACGUCCCAAGGGUUGGGCUGUUCGCCCAUGAAAGCGGUACGCGAGCUGGGUUCAGAACGUCGUGAGACAGUUCGGUCCAUAUCCGGUGUAGGCGUUAGAAUAUUGAGAGGAGCCUUCUUUAGUACGAGAGGACCGAGAAGGACAUACCUCUGGUGUACCAGUUAUCGUGCCAACGGUAAACGCUGGGUAGCUAUGUAUGGAGUGGAUAACCGCUGAAAGCAUCUAAGUGGGAAGCCCACCUCAAGAUAAGUAUUCUCA
Molecule: ribosomal RNA, 1242 nt
Filed under: metagenome
Description: bacterial LSU rRNA
Rfam family: Bacterial large subunit ribosomal RNA
Source: RNAcentral